Molecule: ribosomal RNA, 89 nt
Filed under: Clostridia bacterium
Lineage: Bacteria; Bacillati; Bacillota; Clostridia
Description: partial 23S ribosomal RNA
Rfam family: Bacterial large subunit ribosomal RNA
Source: RNAcentral
CCUGGGAGAAGACCAGGUAGAUAGGCCGGGAGUGCAAGGGGGGCAACCUCUUGAGCGGACCGGUACUAAUGGGUCGAGGGCUUGCGACG